Long non-coding RNA from Eupeodes corollae, 653 nucleotides. RefSeq lists it as uncharacterized. The transcript has 2 exons. The record is from RefSeq and is a predicted model, not a curated record. Lineage: Eukaryota; Metazoa; Arthropoda; Insecta; Diptera; Syrphidae.
ACACAUUUAGGCGAGGGAUCACUCAUUUUCUGAAACUUUCAAUUUUGGUAACUUUGAAUUAAAAAAUAUCUUAAUAAAACUUAGUAGUUGUAAACAUUAAAAUCAUUUAUGUAUGUGUACAAAAAAAUUAUCGUCGUGUCUAAAUUAUGAAUUAUUUCAAAAUUGAUAAUGUAUUCAAAAAAGUUACAUUAGUUUGGAAUGAACUUCGAGAUUGUCUAUUCAACUGCAGAACCUGUCCUUCCGUGGCCUUUAAAUCAAACCCCAACUGUGGUUGCUAUCAAUGUUGUUCAAACAAAGAAUUAGCACUUAAUAUUUUCUUCUUUUCUGUUGUCAUAGUUGCACCACUCUUAGUGAUUUUGAUUGACAGAAAAUAUCUUCCUGAACCAAAUAAACAGCAAUAAAAUCAUUUAUACUUACUUAUUGACUAUUCUGGCAUAAAAUUCCUUUGACUUUUCAAUGGUUGAGAGAAAUUUAAGAAGUUCCGCAUCUGGAGGUGUUGCCCAUUUGAUGCUUCCUUGCUGUCCAGCACGAACUUCGGCAACUGGUUCUUCUUUGGUGGGCAAUAAUUUUGGAGUUCCACAAGUUUUCUUUACCUAAAAUUAAAGAGUCGGAAAAAAAAGAAGAUAAAUUAAAUUACCUUAAAUUCAAUUAAA